UAUGAUAUAUACAUAUACACAUAGAUAUAUAUAUAUAUAUAUUUAUGAAAUCAUAUAUAUGAAAUCAUAUAUAUAUAUGUAUAUGAAAUGCAUAUACUCUGUGUUCCUACACAUUUUUGGCUUCAUUUUACGCGAAUAUUACACAACGCAUAUAUUAUAUAUAGCGUCCAGUCUGAAAGGUUUUUUGAGACAUGUAACGAAGUUCAAUGGGCAAACAUGAUUAGAGAAUAUUUAAAUGAGAAAUGGAUGCUUCGAACCUUAAACUGGGCUGGACCAAAUACUUGACUCUGUUGAGUUGAUAUUGUUAAAAUCAAAAUGAGAAACAAAAAAAGAGGAGUAAGAAAGAGAAACGGGAAAAUUAAUAAAACCUAGUUGUUUAAGGUCGCUACGUAAUUAAAAUGUAUCUAUAUGUAAAUUUUAAGCACAAAAUCAAAACUAGUCUGUAAGUUGAGGAUAAAAAACAAUUUGAUGAACUUACAUAGUAAAGACGAUUAACCGAUUAAGGUGGCUUAGAUGAUAUUGGAUUUGACACGUUUUACGAUUCAGGAGAUCGGAAGCGCGU
Molecule: long non-coding RNA, 562 nt
Filed under: Neodiprion lecontei (redheaded pine sawfly)
Lineage: Eukaryota; Metazoa; Arthropoda; Insecta; Hymenoptera; Diprionidae
Description: uncharacterized LOC124294648, transcript variant X2
Source: RNAcentral